Molecule: long non-coding RNA, 5101 nt
Filed under: Sus scrofa (pig)
Lineage: Eukaryota; Metazoa; Chordata; Mammalia; Artiodactyla; Suidae
Description: lncRNA (ENSSSCG00040066336.1, ENSSSCG00185000702.1)
Source: RNAcentral
UUUUUUUUUUUUUUUUUUAAGAAACAUAUACACAUUUGAAUGUGCUUUUCUGAGUUAUGUACCUAGCAGCCCAUAAAACUUGUAGUUUACAGAGGCCAAAAUUAAGGGAAUGCUCUGCAGCAAGUUCAGACCAUUGCAAGCUCCCUUUUGUUUGGAUGUCAUGACUUUAAGUGUCUAUGACAGUGGUUGGAAAAUCACAACCUGCUGGCCAAAUUUAGCUCCUCACCUAUUUUUGUACAUAAAAUUUUACUGGAAAACACUCAUCUGAUUUAAUAUUUUCUAGAUCUGCUUUUCCAUUACAUAGGUAGAGUAAUUGUGACAGAAAUUAUACGGUCUUCGAAGUCUAACAUAUUAACUACCUUAUCCAUUAUAGAAAAUGUUUAUUUAUCCCUGGCCUAUGGCAUUAAGGAAUUUGGGGAAAAAAGCAUAUAAAUGUCUGUAAAUAACUACCCUUAUUUCUAGUGGGCCUUGAUAGAGCACUGGUGUCCUGACCUUGCAACAAACACUAAAUGGCAUUGUAACUGGAGCUACUCAUCAUAAAUUAGACUUUUUCUAAUUCACAUAGCCAUGACGUUAGGUAUAUAGAAGCACUGUAUUUUCAAGUGAUAGUGGAAGAUGCAAGUGUCAUAAGCAAACAGGUCAAAUUCUCAGACUCUAUUUAUAUUGCUUGUAUUUCUCCUUCAUUAACACCUGUAUGUUAUAAGUAUAACUUAGAAGGUUUUUUUUAUGUCCAGUUGCUGGCGAAAUAAAUGAUAGAUAUUUUUGUUCUAUGCAAUCCCAUAAGAGAUUUUUUUUUUUAGCAUUAGAACAGGCUUUGAGGUGGCCUUGGCUGUGGAAGAUAGGGGAAAACAGAAUGCCUGUCCCCCCUCCACCCACAACCCUUCUUUUGCUGUUCCCCGCAAUAAGAACAAAUACUUUCAGUGAAGGAUCAGAGAGUUAAGAUAGUUAAUGCUUUUAACCCUGCAUUCGGAUGUCCCGUAUGUCUGAAUUGGAGAAGGGUCAAAUUGACCCUAAUUCAUGGGAACUAAAUUCUUAUGGUUCUGAAACCAAUUUCAAUGUGUGGGAGGGUGGUUUCUCCAUGCCCACAAUUGGCUAUAUACCAGGUGGGUAUCCUGUCAUUCAACUCAACUCAGUUGUGACAAUAUCUGUCCAGAGGUAGCAUCAGAUCCCACAGGUUAAGAGCUCAGUCCACAAGACUCCCUUACCUCCAACCCCUGCCACACACAGACCUCAGACACUAGUCACAAGUCCAGGUUGUUACCUAUGCUUCUGAUCUACUGGCUACAGAUCAGACUGUAGACUUCUUUCAAAUGACUGAGUUGCUGAGCUGCUCACAGAACUCAGGGGAAUAUUUUACUUACUAAAUUACCAGCUUAUUAAAAAAAGCUAUAACUCAGGAAUAACCAGAUGGAAAACAUACACAGGGAAAAGGCACAGAGCUUCUAUGCCUUCUCCAAGUGUUUAACAACCAAGAACUCUCCAAAUCUUCCUUUUGGGUUUAUAUGGAGCUUCAUUAUAUAGGCAUGAUUGAUUGAAUCAUUGGUCCUUAGCAUCUGAGCCAAGCUCCAGACUCUCUCCCCUCCCUGGAGGCCAGGACUGUGGAGGUGAAAACUUCAGCUCUCUAAUCACAUAGUUGUUCCCCUGGCACUGGUCCCCAUCCUUAGGUGCAAUCCUAAAGCCACCUAAUUAGCAUAUAAAUGAUACCAUUGUGGCUUUUAUCAGUUAGGAAAUUCCAAGGAUUUUAAGAGUUCUGUGCUAGAAACAAGUAAGAAGACCAAAUGUAUUUAUUUCCUAGUAUAAACCACAAAAUCACAGUCUAGCCCCUGGUUUUUGAGCAAGGAUCCCUAAAAAAAAAAAAAGCAAAGCAGUUAUUAAAGUCAAAAGAUACUGGUACAUUGCUAGAAUUGCAUUCAGUCAUUAAUAAAUAUUCAUCCACUAUCAUAUCAUGUAAAAAUAUAUGUGAGGCCAUUCAGGUUUACAGGCUUUCAUGUGAUCUUUUUAUGUUCCGAAAGCAAGAGUCAUAUCGACAAUGGCUUCAUCCUUGUAAGCAUCUAACAUAAUUGAACUGAGAGACAACAUCAUCUUUUUCUCUGAACCUCUUUUGAGGUAUUAACUUAAUAUUGGAUUUUCAUCAUUACAUUACCCAUUUAAUCAUUCCUUUACUCAUAGCUACUCUUUUUUCUUUCCCUUAUUUGUACCCAAACUUUCCCACCUUUGGAAGGGACAUUAGUUUUGGCCAUUGUGCUGGUUGAGAUAUCAGGCAGCAGUGCCUCCCCCUCAGUUCCCUCCUGUUUAUGUAGGGUGAGGCUACAUAGGAGCAGAACCAGUGGGGUCUCUUUAAUACCAGUUUAUAUAUCUACAUUCCUGUUACUCCAAAUUUUGCCAGAUGUGGUGAAAGCAUAUUUAGCUCCAUCAGGCCCUUAGGAAUUCUGUCUGAUAUAAAGAUUAAAAACAUAGUUAAAAUUUCUUUCUUAGGAAUCACUCCUGAAUCCAGCCCUUGUAGCUGCAACCCUGAUCCUGUCACCACUGCAUCAAGUAGGAAAAAGAGGUUGUGGUGAUAUGUGGAAAAAAAGAAUACCCACACUUUCCCCACUUUCUCUUCCCCAGAUCUACUAGAAGAACAGAGAAAUCUAUUCAGUGGGGACACUUCUUCAGUCCCAUUCAUGUUCACAUGGCCUAUGGGCAUGUGCUAGUGAAGGCUUAUAAGCUAGUCCUUCUGAUUUAGAAAAAAAAAAUCAGUGUUUUAAUUGCCUGUCCCAAUUCUCUUUCAAGCUAUUUGAUCUAAAGAAAUGACAGUCAGUGUCCAAAAUGGUACAUUUAUUUUCCAUGCUCAUUUUUUAAAAAUAAUAAUACUCUGAACAUUUGCAUCUACUACCAGGUAAGUCAAGCCCAGUCCAGAGUCAGUGUCUAUUCCCUUCAAGACCUAUCUUCAGAGCCACCCCUAAAGCUACUGGCAUCAGUUUGACCUGCCAGCUGUGAUUGAGGCUUUACCCCCAGGGAAUCUGCCACAUGGCCAUCUGUAGCCUCUAUCUCUUUUGUUUGCAUACAGAACAGUUCUUACAGGCAUUUCGUGCCUCUGAGGGUAGAAAAGGAAUAUAUCUAGAUUAGCCCAUCUGUGCAUUAUUUCAGUGCCCUCACAUCCACUGAUUUCAUGGACCCAAGUGGCUAUCUCAAGGAGUCAUGGAGGGAUAGCUGCUUGUUUAUUUCAAUUACUUUCUAAACAUGGUAGGGAGUUCUUCUAAUGUGCAUCAUCAGGUACUACUUCAAUGUUUUCCUCAAAUAUUCAUAGGGCCAAAUUCCCCACAUGGGUGUUUUUUUAACGUGCCAAAUUUCUUUUGCCCUCCUGCCUGACCAUAUGGCCAGACCACUGGCUACUGCUUACGAGAAGGCAAAAAACCAAACAUAGGAGCUUUUUCCAUUGUUCACUUAUUCCAUAACUGCUAAGAAAACAUCAUGUAAUUUCAGUCCACUGAGCUGAUAUGUUUUUACCUUCUUUUAUCAGAGGGUCGACUUCCAAACAGGAUGCUGUCCAUUUACCUUGGAACUGCCAUCCACAAACCAAGCAGCUUUUUGUUGAUCAGUCAAGAGCAGAUUAUAGGGCAUUGUCCAAGUGACAGCAGAAUCCAGAAGUUCUCAUGCAUUUCAAAGAGGAAAGAAUCCCCCUACUUUGAAUAUUUCCUCUUUGCAUUCCCCAGGCAUAAACCAUUUCCAUUUCAUCAUGGGACUCUUCUGGGCACUGCCAUCCCUCAAGAUGUUGUAUUUUAGGUUUCAAGAUCAUGUUAUGUCCAUCAGUCUUUGGAGUAGCUUUAAUGAGUAAUGUCAUAUCGCAGGGUAGUAAAUGCCUAUCCCAGAGAAAUUGUCUAGUCCAAAGCCCCAGAAAUCAUUGCUGGGAUGACAUCACAGGAUUUUGUCAUAAUCUCCAGUUUAUGCUCCACACAGGGCUGUUGCACAGAGAAUUUGUCUCUACCAGCACACAGUACUAAUGUGGGCUCAGGCAUUUCACUGAUUCCCAUUCAGCCUGCCCAACUAAUAGCAGUUGAAGGACUGAUUUAUAUGCCUUCUGUUUUACAAAACUAGUUUGGGGAAAUGUUCUCCAGUCAGAUAGAGUCACAUACAGUUUUCAUCCCCAAAAAACAUUCAGGUAAAGUGGACACAACUUCUGAAACAUUCCAACUUUCACAAUCCUAUCAACUCUUACAUUUUUACAUUCUCUCCAUCUAUUUGUAGCCCGAAUUGGGGCUUUGUCAAUAGAUGUUGAUAUCACAACCCAUGGGGCUCCCAUCUCUUCUCUAACCCAUUGACCAUUUUAUCUACUCCUGUUCAAGAGCUUACCCUAUCUUUGUCCAUUAGGAACUUCACUAAACAUAUUUUAAGGGCUCACUGCAAACAAUCCAGAUCUGAUUUCUGACCUACUAAGCAUUUCACCUUACUGUUGCAGUAGCACAGCUCCAAAAUAUAAAGAAUGGGCACUUGGGUGCCCACAGACGAGACACAUUCCAAAUCUCAUGGUUGCUCAUAUACUGGUCCAACUUGCUUCUCUUGCUCAUUCAGAUGGUAUUCACACAUUUGAAAACCCCAAGCAUUGUGUGCUGCUUAAAUUGCUUAUUAACUUAUGUUUAAUGUGAAAAAAAAUGUACACACACCCAGAUCUAAAGCAGCUACAUCUUCUACACAUAUUUUAUCUAUUAACAUCACCAGUGAUUCUAACCUGGUAGAUCAAAAUCUUAUGCAAUAUAAAGGCAAAUAUUUGGCCUAAGCAAUAGACCAAGCAUGGCUAGAAGAAAUCACAAAAUUGCCUAUAUAUACACAUACUAAUAAGGAUAUAUUAGAAAAACUAUUUAAACCAUUCUGCAGAGAAAUGUAUCACCACCAUAUGCCAUGCUUUGGAAGGAUUAAGCUUGCAACACAUAGAAAUUUUCAUCUGCCACAUUGGUGGAAUAUGACCAGAUAUUAUAGAAAUGUAGCAAUGCCUUACACUUACAGGAUUCUCUCUAAACAUGUUAUCAGCUGGCAGGAAAAAAAAAAUAACAAUGCUAAAGACAAGUGUAGAACCACAACUAGAUACUCUCAGGUUGUGUGACUGGUAGAGCUAUCAUGCAAA